This 465-nucleotide ribosomal RNA is filed under the name Triticum aestivum (bread wheat). Its description in RNAcentral is "partial small subunit ribosomal RNA". Lineage: Eukaryota; Viridiplantae; Streptophyta; Magnoliopsida; Poales; Poaceae. The record is from RNAcentral.
AUGCAGUAUAUCCACUUUCUUCUAUCUAUUUUAAGUAUUAUUGUGGGUCUGCAGUAUGAAUCACUACACGCUGGAGAAGUUCCUGGAGGCGAUCAGGAGCAGAGGCAUCAAGAUAUGCCAUGGGUGCAAUGCCUCGCAGGCUUUUGCACCUGCCUAGUUAUGCAUAUGUUGGCAAGACAAGUUUUGCCUGCUCUGCUUCAUAUCAGUCUCUUCUCAUCGCGGCCAGAGCUUGGAAGCAAUUCAACUAGGCACCAUGACGCUGGAUGGAAGUACAACUUCCUGUCGGAAGGUUCUUAUAUAUGGUCUCUAGAAACACUCGCACGCAGACUCUCUGCCCUCAUUCGCCCGCCGCCGCCCUUCGUCCCUUCGCCGCCGCCGCUCCAUGCCUUCGCCGCCGCCCUCGCACAUCAAAGCCGCCGCCCUCCAUCGCACGAUCCACUUCAGGAGACGCCGCGACCCCGUUGA